AGCCGCCGCCGUAAUACGGAGGAUCCAAGCGUUAUCCGGAUUCAUUGGGUUUAAAGGGUCCGUAGGCGGAUUUUUAAGUCAGUGGUGAAAGCCGGCAGCUCAACUGUCGAACUGCCAUUGAUACUGGAAAUCUUGAGUACAAAUGAAGUAGGCGGAAUGAGUCAUGUAGCGGUGAAAUGCAUAGAUAUGACUCAGAACACCGAUUGCGAAGGCAGCUUACUAACAUGUAACUGACGCUGAGGGACGAAAGCGUGGGGAGCGAACAGGAUUAGAUACCCUGGUAGUCCACGCCGUAAACGAUCAUCACUCGCUGUUGGCGAUAUACUGUCAGCGGCCAAGCGAAAGUAUUAAGUGAUGCACCUGGGGAGUACGCCGGCAACGGUGAAACUCAAAGGAAUUGACG
Molecule: ribosomal RNA, 403 nt
Filed under: uncultured Bacteroidota bacterium
Lineage: Bacteria; Pseudomonadati; Bacteroidota
Also listed under: 1 other name
Description: bacterial SSU rRNA
Rfam family: Bacterial small subunit ribosomal RNA
Source: RNAcentral